GUCCAGCUGACGAGUCCCAAACAGGACGAAACGUGCAU
RNAcentral lists this non-coding RNA (38 nucleotides) under Schistosoma curassoni. Lineage: Eukaryota; Metazoa; Platyhelminthes; Trematoda; Strigeidida; Schistosomatidae. The record is from RNAcentral.